This 20-nucleotide non-coding RNA is filed under the name Arabidopsis thaliana (thale cress). Lineage: Eukaryota; Viridiplantae; Streptophyta; Magnoliopsida; Brassicales; Brassicaceae. The record is from RNAcentral.
UUCCAAAAUUGUGGUGUGUA